Molecule: ribosomal RNA, 263 nt
Filed under: uncultured bacterium
Lineage: Bacteria
Description: partial 16S ribosomal RNA
Rfam family: Bacterial small subunit ribosomal RNA
Source: RNAcentral
GUCCACGCCGUAAACGAUGGGUGCUAGGUGUGGGGGGUGUCGACUCCCCCUGUGCCGAAGCUAACGCAUUAAGCACCCCGCCUGGGGAGUACGGCCGCAAGGCUAAAACUCAAAGGAAUUGACGGGGGCCCGCACAAGCAGCGGAGCAUGUGGUUUAAUUCGACGCAACGCGAAGAACCUUACCAAGGCUUGAAAUGCUCGGGAAAGCCGGAGAAAUUCGGUCCUCCUUCGGGACUCGAGUACAGGUGGUGCAUGGCUGUCGU